Molecule: long non-coding RNA, 488 nt
Organism: Ornithorhynchus anatinus (platypus)
Lineage: Eukaryota; Metazoa; Chordata; Mammalia; Monotremata; Ornithorhynchidae
Exons: 2
Source: RefSeq, a predicted model, not a curated record
UCGGCCCCAGCCACAACACAGAAGUCUACCACCGAGACAGGUUGGCUGGCUCAACCACAUGCAAGCGCCCCUCUGCUGAUCUUGAAGGCCACAGACCCACCUAAAUAUGGCAAGAUUCAGGCGGAGCCGCAGCCGCAGCCGCAGCCUCUACCGUCGCCGGCGGAGGAGCCGCCGGGGCGGCCGCCAAACCAGGUCCAGGAAGCUUAGCCGGCGGAGCCGGAGAAGAGGGAGAAGCAGGAGGAGGAAAGGCAGACGCAGCAGGAGAUCUUCUCGCAGAAGCAGGAGAAGAAACUGAGAGCCACUCUCCACGCUCCUGCUCGAGAACACAUGCCACCCGAGUCAUCUGAGACCCCCUCGACCUCGCCUGCCUGAGAUCCAGACCGACCCACCCCCCCAACAUUGUGCAGACUGACCGAUGACUGCCCCGAGGACCAGGAGCCUGCUUCUGAACAAAUGCCACCUGCGUGACAAUAAACCUUGAAUACUCA